RNAcentral lists this ribosomal RNA (625 nucleotides) under uncultured ciliate. RNAcentral's name for it is "bacterial SSU rRNA". It matches the Rfam family "Eukaryotic small subunit ribosomal RNA", at positions 332 to 972 of the family's 1831-position model. The record is from RNAcentral. Lineage: Eukaryota; Ciliophora.
UGUAUUGGACAACCACGGCGUUCACGGGUAACGGAGAAUUAGGGUUCGAUUCCGGAGAGGGAGCCUGAGAAACGGCUACCACAUCUAAGGAAGGCAGCAGGCGCGUAAAUUACCCAAUCCCAAUUCGGGGAGGUAGUGACAAGAAAUAACAACCUGGGGACUUUCACAGUCUUACGGGAUUGCAAUGAGGACAAUUUAAAAACCUUAUCGAGGAACAAUUGGAGGGCAAGUCUGGUGCCAGCAGCCGCGGUAAUUCCAGCUCCAAUAGCGUAUAUUGAAGUUGUUGCAGUUAAAAAGCUCGUAGUUGAAAUUCUAACUGUUGUUAGCGCUGGCUUUGGUCGGACUAAGAGCAGUUAUCCGUCUGUAAACUGUGUUCGUCCUUCACUGGUCGUCGCAGGGAGCAGACCUUUUACUUUGAAAAAAUUAGAGUGUUUCAAGCAGGCAAUGGCUCGAAUACAUUAGCAUGGAAUAAUGGAAUAGGACUUUUGUCCAUUUGGUUGGUUAUUGGACAUGAGUAAUGAUUAACAGGGACAGUUGGGGGCAUUAGUAUUUAAUUGUCAGAGGUGAAAUUCUUGGAUUUAUUAAAGACUAACUUAUGCGAAAGCAUUUGCCAAGGAUGUUUUCA